GGUAUGUCACAGAACCUGCUUUGGACUCAGCACACAAGUCAGAAUUGAGAUGACUUGUGACCAUCAAUGUUUGGUUACCAGCAUUGAGUCAAAGUGGCCUGGGUCAGUCCAUGACUCCUGGAUCUCUAGGGAAUCUGCAUUUUGCCACGAAUUAGAGCAAGGCUCCUCAGUGGAUUGCUGGUAGGGGACCGAGGGUACGCCUGCCAGCCCUUUUUGAUGACCCCCUAUCCUGACCCGAACACACAGCCACAGAAUGCUUUUAAUGUGGCCCUUAGCAGAACAAGGGUCAGGAUAGAGAUGAACUUUGGCAUCAUCAAAGCACGCUUCAACUGCCUCCGAGUGGCCCAGACCGGGCUUGUCAGAUUGUGACAGCCUGUGUCGGGCUCCACAAUGUUGCCUCGAUAAGAAAGGAGAGAGCCCCACCUGGAGGUUUCAUGUUCAUGUUAUCCCUAUUCACUGGGGUGUCUCCCCUUAACUCCUUCUGUUGUCCUUGGGUUGCUUUGACCCAUUUUCUAACAUUUCCAUAUCAGAUAUUUGGGUUUCUUUCAACCAAAACAUUUCAAACCAAAAAGAACAAUGAGUACGGUACCAUGCAAUGCUCUUCACAAGUUAAAUAAAUCAUAAUUUCACGACUUUCAUUGAAAGUUUCAUUCACUUUUAUAGCAAUUUUCUAAAACAAUAAUAAGGACAUUGAAAGAAAGAAAUGGGGAAAAACCCCACCAAAGACUCCAAGGCAAAACAAAAAAAUAUUUGGGACAAGCCACAAAAAGGUAUAAAAGUUAAACAAAUACAUCCUCCUCAUUUGUUCUCCCUUUCUUAGGAACACAGAUAAAGAAUGUCAGGUUAACUGUAAGUUUUGUGUCGUUCAUUCAUACAUUCAGUCAUGUACUACCUUCUCAUAUUCCAGUUUCUUUUCUGAAGAAAUGCCCCCUUCCACUCCUUGCAUCAGGGGGCGACCCUGAUUGCUGAAAAGGGCCAGAACCUCAGCAGGAGUAAAUGUCAUUGUUCUAUAGGCCCUUUGUAUACCAAUAUCCUACAAAAGGGACUGACUCAGGCAAUUCAAAU
Molecule: long non-coding RNA, 1065 nt
Organism: Hypomesus transpacificus
Lineage: Eukaryota; Metazoa; Chordata; Actinopteri; Osmeriformes; Osmeridae
Exons: 3
Source: RefSeq, a predicted model, not a curated record